RNAcentral lists this ribosomal RNA (253 nucleotides) under uncultured bacterium. RNAcentral describes it as "partial 16S ribosomal RNA". It matches the Rfam family "Bacterial small subunit ribosomal RNA", at positions 524 to 776 of the family's 1533-position model. The record is from RNAcentral.
UACGGAGGGUCCGAGCGUUAAUCGGAAUUACUGGGCGUAAAGCGCGCGUAGGCGGCUAGGUCAGUCAGAUGUGAAAGCCCCGGGCUUAACCUGGGAAUUGCAUCUGAUACUGCUUGGCUAGAGUACAGAAGAGGGUGGUGGAAUUUCCUGUGUAGCGGUGAAAUGCGUAGAUAUAGGAAGGAACAUCAGUGGCGAAGGCGGCCACCUGGACUGAUACUGACGCUGAGGUGCGAAAGCGUGGGGAGCAAACAGG